GUAGUAGAAGUAAUAUCCAGGAUGAAUAGGUUUUGGCCUUUCUAGGGAGUUUUUCCUAGCAAAACCCCAAACUGCAUUGCUUGCUGUUUGGGGUUUUAGGCUGGGUUUCUGUACAGCACUUUGAGAUAUCAGCUGAUGUACGAAGGGCUAUAUAAAUAAAUUUGAUUUUGAAUAGAACAGAACAUUUUUUUUUUACAUGGUCUCUCCAGAUUUAGCGACCAAUAGUUUUUACAACAACGUUGGAUGUUUAUAUUCUGGUCAGUCUGCAGUCAGUGUCACUCAUUAUUCUUUAUUUACAGUAUAAAUAUUACAUCUAUACUUGCAUCGUCCUAUAAACUCAUAUGUAGGCUAAUAACUCGCUCUCUCUCGCUCUCCCUCUCAUCGUAUUAAUUGUCGCGCGUGCUCCAGCAUAAUUCGAGGGAGAGAGGGAAGACGACACGUUGUUGAGGGGAGAGGAGGGAAGAGAUGCUGUUGAUUUGAACCUGCGCCGCCAGAACACGGGAUAAUACAUCUAGCUGAGGAUCUACCUACCUGAACAAGGUGCUCCGUAUUGAACAGGCACCUGCCGUUCUUUGACCACCCAUCACCAUCACCACCAUGUCAAAGGACCAGUGUGAAUCCGUAGCAGUGAGCGUCGAGUCCCUCUUAACCGACGCAGUUAAGAUGCAGUCCCAGUGUCGGGAGCGUAGUGAGCAGCUAGCUGUGGCCGCCGCCGCACUGCGGGAGGAGUCGGCGUGCUUGAGAGAACAGUGUCAAGCCACCCAGCUGGACAUGGCUCAGAUGAGAAGACAGCUAGAACAACUGCUGGACAGCCAGGCUCAGAUGGAGGCCAGUGAUCGAAUGCACCGCAAACUCAGCAAGACACUCUAAAGGGAAAGGAGGGGAGAGAAGGAGAGUGAGAAAAUAAGAACGGCUGGAUAACACAGCUCCGACAGACACUCGGGAUGGUGAACUUAGCAGUUAAAAUGUAAAAAAUGUCUCCUGUUCUCUAACGCUAUCUAUCUUCUGUCCCUAAACAAUAGACUUUAUUCUUCAUAAGCAGUUAUUAUGCUUGCUAUAUAGGCCCUCAAUUCUCUUCACGGAGAUUGAAUGUUUAUGGGUCUGAAUAAAUAACUGCUAUAGUCUACCGUCAUCGGUCAUUCGCGCUUCUUUCAAACCCGCGAGUUCUAUUGGCUGCUGGAUGUAACAUUCGAGUUCUAUUGGCUGCUGGAUGUAACAUUCGAGUUCUAUUGGCUGCUGGAUGUAACAUUCGAGUUCUAUUGGCUGCUGGAUGUAACAUUCGAGUUCUAUUGGCUGCUGGAUGUAACAUUUGAGUUCUAUUGGCUGCUGGAUGUAACAUUCGAGUUCUAUUGGCUGCUGGAUGUAACAUUCGGCAGAAAAGAAGGAACCCGCGAAGAAAUGCAAAAAAUAAAAUAAUAGUACCCCAAAAAGCUAUUCUAGUUUUUCCUGCAUGGGACCAAGAGCUAAGGAGCGUUUUUUAAAGGGGAGGCGAGCGGAGGAGCUCAGGCGCUUGGGUAUUACGUAAGAGACAGAAGCUAUAAAUUAGAAGCUUAUUAGACAUAAUCCAUCAUUAAUUAACAUAUAUAUAAGGCUAUAAUAUAAUAUAAGGCUAAUACUGAAUUGAAUGUAUUACCUGAAAGAGGUAGGCUAGGACAUUAUAUAUAAAUAUAUAUAUUUAGGGCUAGGACAUCUAUAAUUAAUGUAUAUAGGGCUAGGACAUCAAUAUAUAUAGACACAGAUCCCUCAGUUCUACAUUUUACAUUUACAUUUAAGUAAUUUAGCAGACGCUCUUAUCCAGAGCGACUUACAAAUUGGUGCGUUCACCUUAAGACAUCCAGUGGAACAGCCACUUUACAAUAGUGCAUCUAAAUCUUUUAAGGGGGGGUGAGAAGGAUUACUUUAUCCUAUCCUAGGUAUUCCUGAAAGAGGUGGGGUUUCAGGUGUCUCCGGAAGGUGGCGAUUGACUCCGCUGUCCUGGCGUCGUGAGGGAGUUUGUUCCACCAUUGGGGGGCCAGAGCAGUUCUAUCUGUUUGUAGAAUCCAGCGGUACCUAUAGGUUAGCAUGACUGUAGAGUCCAGUUAAACAAUUUAAAGGCAAUGCUACCAAAUACUAAUUGAGUGUAUGUAAACUUCUGACCUACUGGGAAUGUGAUGAAAGAAAUAAAA
Long non-coding RNA from Oncorhynchus nerka (sockeye salmon), 2165 nucleotides. RefSeq lists it as uncharacterized. Lineage: Eukaryota; Metazoa; Chordata; Actinopteri; Salmoniformes; Salmonidae. The record is from RefSeq and is a predicted model, not a curated record. The transcript has 3 exons.